CCACACACAGGGGGCUCCUUCUCUCACUGUGCUCUCUCCUGGGUCCCCUCCUUAAUCUCUUCCCUGCCUAUUGGUCCCUGUCUAACAUCUCCUCCUGUUCCUGGCUCUCUAUCCCAUGACCAUGCCAUUUCCUUCCAGUAUGACUGUUGUCUGAAAUUGUCUUAUCUGUGAGUGUAUUUCUCCAUUGUUUGCUUUGCCUUAUUAGAAUGCAAAUGGCUACAUUCAGGGGUGUAUCUGCAUACUCGAGCACAGUGCCCCAGCCCAUAGAACAUUUGUUACAUGAAUGAAUUCCUAACAGGAAAUAAGACUGUAGCUUCCAGAAACUCCAUCUGGAAUUCACAUCACCAUCGUCACAAUGAAGAAGUCUUUAGAGGGGACCAGAGGGGAUGGUGUCCACCCAAGGAGGCCUGGGACAGUCCUGGAGCACAGGACAGCUCCUGGGAUUCUCCAAGACAGCCCAUCACUUCUGGGAUUCAGCAUCACUGGAGCUUGCAGGGUGCUUGUCAAAGGGCGAGUUUCAGGCCGGAGUGCUGGAGAUGAACAAACAGGAUGCUUCAGUAGAAAGUGGAAAUGCUGUCUCCCGAAUCUGCUGAAUGACGAUGUUCCGAGGAGACCCACACUUAAGAACAAAAGUGACUACUCUUGUCCGAAUCUUAAAUUCCAUCACCUUGGCUGUGACUGCUGAGUGCUGGUAAUGAGUGUUGAGAGGCAAUCUGAGGAUGGUGAUUAGGUAUUAAACCUGGGCAGGUAUUAACUGAGAGGUGUGUGGCCCCUUCGCUCAGCACCACAGGAGAAGAUCUCUGCCAGCAGGCUUAUCUGGCCAUCAGCCAGGGACGGAGCUGCAUUGUGGCAAAGUGAAAUGUGAUUUUAAUGAUUUUGAGCACAUGGUUUCUGCCUCCAGCAUGCUAGAUUUGUAGACUCCCAUUUUUUUU
Molecule: long non-coding RNA, 932 nt
Filed under: Rhinopithecus bieti (black snub-nosed monkey)
Lineage: Eukaryota; Metazoa; Chordata; Mammalia; Primates; Cercopithecidae
Description: lncRNA (ENSRBIG00000045519.1)
Source: RNAcentral